AAGGCUCAUUAAAUCAGUUAUGGUUCCUUAGAUCGUACCCACAUUUACUUGGAUAACUGUGGUAAUUCUAGAGCUAAUACAUGCAAACAGAGUUCCGACCGGAGACGGGAGGAAUGCUUUUAUUAGAUCAAAACCAAUCGGCGGCGGGUGCGUUCGCGUGCCCGUUCGCCGCUCAACCUGGUGACUCUGAAUAACUUUCGGCUGAUCGCACGGUCCAGCACCGGCGACGCAUCUUUCAAAUGUCUGCCUUAUCAACUGUCGAUGGUAGGUUCUGCGCCUACCAUGGUCGUAACGGGUAACGGGGAAUCAGGGUUCGAUUCCGGAGAGGGAGCCUGAGAAACGGCUACCACAUCCAAGGAAGGCAGCAGGCGCGCAAAUUACCCACUCCCGGCACGGGGAGGUAGUGACGAAAAAUAACGAUACGGGACUCAUCCGAGGCCCCGUAAUCGGAAUGAGUACACUUUAAAUCCUUUAACGAGGAUCAAUUGGAGGGCAAGUCUGGUGCCAGCAGCCGCGGUAAUUCCAGCUCCAAUAGCGUAUAUU
RNAcentral lists this ribosomal RNA (543 nucleotides) under Hydrodytes opalinus. RNAcentral describes it as "SSU rRNA". It matches the Rfam family "Eukaryotic small subunit ribosomal RNA", at positions 93 to 605 of the family's 1831-position model. The record is from RNAcentral. Lineage: Eukaryota; Metazoa; Arthropoda; Insecta; Coleoptera; Dytiscidae.